GACGGACCGUCCAAACGUUAUUCGGAAUCACUGGGCUUAAAGGGUGCGUAGGCGGUCUGGUAAGUCGGGUGUGAAAUACCUCAGCUCAACUGAGGAACUGCGCCCGAAACUGCUAGGCUUGAGGGAGACAUAGGUGAGCGGAACUUAGGGUGGAGCGGUGAAAUGCGUUGAGAUCCUAGGGAACACCAGUAGCGAAAGCGGCUCACUGGGUCUUUUCUGACGCUGAUGCACGAAAGCUAGGGGAGCGAAG
RNAcentral lists this ribosomal RNA (250 nucleotides) under uncultured bacterium. RNAcentral's name for it is "partial 16S ribosomal RNA". It matches the Rfam family "Bacterial small subunit ribosomal RNA", at positions 524 to 773 of the family's 1533-position model. The record is from RNAcentral.